RNAcentral lists this ribosomal RNA (642 nucleotides) under Apatophyllum flavovirens. Its description in RNAcentral is "eukaryotic LSU rRNA". The stretch from base 250 to 405 matches the Rfam family "5.8S ribosomal RNA". Lineage: Eukaryota; Viridiplantae; Streptophyta; Magnoliopsida; Celastrales; Celastraceae. The record is from RNAcentral.
CCUGCAACGCAGAACGACCCGCGAAUUGGUGAUAAUUAACUUGGGGACGCAGGCCUCCGUGCCCGUCGCCCAAAGUCUUAGGCGAGGGUUGUGGGAAACUCCACCUCCUUCGUCGCGGGCACAAAAAACAAACCCCCGGCGCGAAUUGCGCCAAGGAAUUCUAUGGAGAGAAAAGAAAUCAAGGCAUCCCCCCCGCUCCGGACGUCGGUGCCUUGGGGGUUGUGUCGUCGUUUCUGCCAAAUCUGAAAUGACUCUCGGCAACGGAUAUCUCGGCUCUCGCAUCGAUGAAGAACGUAGCGAAAUGCGAUACUUGGUGUGAAUUGCAGAAUCCCGUGAACCAUCGAGUUUUUGAACGCAAGUUGCGCCCAAAGCCGUCAGGUCGAGGGCACGCUUGCCUGGGUGUCACGCAACGUCGCUAAAUAUUCCCUCUACCCUUCUAGCGAGGAAAAACGAGGGCCGGCGGAUGUUGGCCUCCCGUGCGCUCUUUGCUCGCGGUUGGCCUAAAAGAAAUCCCUGGGCGGGGCUGCCACGACACGCGGUGGUUGGUAGCACGUGCUCCUCGAACACCGUCGUGUGCGAGCUUCGUCGACGGGGGAUUGCCAAGGACCCCGACGCAAAAGCGUCUAGCAAAGCGACCCCAGG